Molecule: ribosomal RNA, 273 nt
Filed under: Corynebacterium striatum
Lineage: Bacteria; Bacillati; Actinomycetota; Actinomycetes; Mycobacteriales; Corynebacteriaceae
Description: partial 16S ribosomal RNA
Rfam family: Bacterial small subunit ribosomal RNA
Source: RNAcentral
GUUUUUCGGUGCAAGAUGAGCUCGCGGCCUAUCAGCUUGUUGGUGGGGUAAUGGCCUACCAAGGCGUCGACGGGUAGCCGGCCUGAGAGGGUGUACGGCCACAUUGGGACUGAGAUACGGCCCAGACUCCUACGGGAGGCAGCAGUGGGGAAUAUUGCACAAUGGGCGGAAGCCUGAUGCAGCGACGCCGCGUGGGGGAUGAAGGCCUUCGGGUUGUAAACUCCUUUCGACAGGGACGAAGCGUAAGUGACGGUACCUGUAUAAGAAGCACCG